Molecule: small nuclear RNA, 106 nt
Filed under: Pavo cristatus (Indian peafowl)
Lineage: Eukaryota; Metazoa; Chordata; Aves; Galliformes; Phasianidae
Description: U2 spliceosomal RNA (ENSPSTG00000011807.1)
Rfam family: U2 spliceosomal RNA
About the family: U2 is a small nuclear RNA (snRNA) component of the spliceosome (involved in pre-mRNA splicing). Complementary binding between U2 snRNA (in an area lying towards the 5' end but 3' to hairpin I) and the branchpoint sequence (BPS) of the intron results the bulging out of an unpaired adenosine, on the BPS, which initiates a nucleophilic attack at the intronic 5' splice site, thus starting the first of two transesterification reactions that mediate splicing.
Source: RNAcentral
UUUGUCUCUUGCUCACUUGACUAAGAUCAAGUGUAGUAUCUGUUCUUACCAGACUAAUAUCUGAUACUUCCCCAGUUGAGAGGAAAAUUUCUUUUGGUCAGGUGCU